RNAcentral lists this ribosomal RNA (297 nucleotides) under uncultured Lactobacillus sp. Its description in RNAcentral is "partial 16S rRNA". It matches the Rfam family "Bacterial small subunit ribosomal RNA", at positions 394 to 683 of the family's 1533-position model. Lineage: Bacteria; Bacillati; Bacillota; Bacilli; Lactobacillales; Lactobacillaceae. The record is from RNAcentral.
ACGCCGCGUGAGUGAAGAAGGGUUUCGGCUCGUAAAACUCUGUUGUUAAAGAAGAACAUAUCUGAGAGUAACUGUUCAGGUAUUGACGGUAUUUAACCAGAAAGCCACGGCUAACUACGUGCCAGCAGCCGCGGUAAUACGUAGGUGGCAAGCGUUGUCCGGAUUUAUUGGGCGUAAAGCGAGCGCAGGCGGUUUUUUAAGUCUGAUGUGAAAGCCUUCGGCUCAACCGAAGAAGUGCAUCGGAAACUGGRAAACUUGAGUGCAGAAGAGGACAGUGGAACUCCAUGUGUAGCGGUG